This is an RNA transcript of Xenopus laevis (African clawed frog), 6432 nucleotides long. It is a transcript of the gene named intersectin 1 L homeolog, with no coding region annotated. The record is from RefSeq and is marked provisional. The transcript is spliced from 30 exons. NCBI's taxonomy places the organism in Eukaryota, Metazoa, Chordata, Amphibia, Anura, Pipidae.
AGUAUUGGUGGGAGGGGACGGUGGUGCGGGGUGAGGGGAUCCGCACUGUGCUACAGGCACAAGAGGAGAGUCGUACGGACACCGGCUCAGGGAGAGUAGUAAAGGGAGGAGGGGCGCUGAAGCAGAGGGCAUGUUGUCGUAUAGCCGAGCUGUCUGAGAGGUAGUCCAGUUGGACCUUACCGGUGCUAAUCCCUGUGGCAAAGGCGAGGGUGGAGGACCGCUAUGAGGCACCUACUAGCAAGCUAAUAGUGAUACAACCAUGGCUCAGUUUGGAACUCCGUUUGGGGGUAAUUUGGACAUCUGGGCCAUAACGGUGGAGGAACGAGCUAAACAUGACCAGCAGUUCCAUGGGCUCAAGCCAACAGCUGGAUAUAUCACAGGUGACCAAGCUAGGAAUUUUUUCCUUCAGUCCGGCCUCCCCCAGCCUGUGCUGGCACAGAUAUGGGCCCUGGCUGACAUGAACAAUGAUGGGAGGAUGGACCAACUGGAGUUCUCCAUAGCUAUGAAAUUAAUCAAGCUAAAACUACAAGGUUACCCGUUGCCCUCUAUUCUCCCUUCCAAUAUGUUGAAGCAACCGGUUGCCAUGCCUGCUGCUGCUGUUGCGGGGUUCGGGAUGAGUGGAAUCGUGGGCAUUCCUCCCCUAGCAGCUGUAGCCCCUGUGCCAAUGCCAUCCAUCCCAGUAGUAGGAAUGUCUCCUCCUCUUGUGUCCUCUGUCCCCACAGUUCCACCCUUGUCUAAUGGGGCUCCUGCAGUAAUACAGUCUCAUCCUGCUUUCGCUCACUCUGCCACAUUGCCAAAGAGUUCUUCAUUCGGCCGCUCAGUUGCCGGGUCCCAGAUAAACACUAAACUUCAGAAAGCUCAGUCCUUCGAUGUUCCAGCCCCACCACUUGUCGUUGAAUGGGCUGUGCCAUCGUCUUCAAGAUUGAAGUACAGACAAUUGUUCAACAGCCAGGACAAAACCAUGAGUGGGAAUUUAACAGGUCCUCAGGCAAGAACUAUUCUUAUGCAGUCAAGUUUACCGCAAAGCCAGCUAGCUACAAUAUGGAAUCUUUCAGACAUUGACCAAGAUGGAAAACUAACAGCCGAAGAAUUUAUAUUAGCUAUGCACUUAAUAGAUGUGGCCAUGUCUGGCCAGCCACUUCCUCCAAUCCUGCCUCCAGAGUAUAUUCCCCCAUCUUUUAGAAGAGUUCGAUCAGGGAGUGGGUUAUCCAUUAUGAGCUCUGUGUCUGUUGAUCAGCGCUUGCCGGAGGAACCAGAAGAAGAGGAGCCACAAAACGCGGACAAAAAGCUCCCAGUGACAUUUGAAGACAAGAAAAGGGAGAACUUUGAGCGAGGAAACCUAGAAUUAGAAAAGAGGAGACAGGCACUUUUAGAGCAGCAGCGCAAAGAGCAGGAGAGGUUGGCUCAGCUGGAAAGGGCAGAGCAGGAGAGAAAAGAACGAGAGCGGCAAGAUCAAGAGCGGAAGCGGCAGCAAGACCUGGAAAAACAGCUGGAGAAACAACGAGAACUGGAGCGGCAACGGGAAGAGGAGCGCAGAAAAGAAAUCGAAAGGAGAGAGGCGGCAAAAAGAGAACUAGAAAGGCAACGGCAGUUGGAGUGGGAACGAAACAGAAGGCAAGAACUCCUUAAUCAAAGGAAUAGAGAGCAAGAGGACAUUGUUGUCUUAAAAGCAAAGAAGAAGACUCUAGAGUUUGAGCUGGAAGCUCUAAAUGAUAAAAAGCACCAGUUGGAAGGAAAACUCCAGGAUAUCCGGUGUCGCCUCACUACUCAACGGCACGAAAUAGAAAGCACUAACAAAUCCAGGGAACUGAGGAUCGCAGAGAUCACACACUUGCAGCAGCAGCUUCAGGAAUCUCAGCAGCUGCUUGGAAAAAUGAUUCCUGAGAAACAGUCCCUUAACGAUCAAUUAAAGCAGGUUCAACAAAACAGUUUGCACAGAGAUUCCUUGCUUACACUAAAAAGGGCAUUGGAAACCAAGGAGAUUGGACGCCAGCAGCUCCGAGAUCAGUUAGAUGAAGUAGAAAAAGAAACGCGAGCUAAGCUUCAGGAAAUCGACGUAUUUAAUAACCAAUUAAAGGAACUGAGAGAAUUGUACAACAAGCAGCAGUUCCAGAAACAGCAGGACUUUGAAACUGAGAAGAUCAAGCAGAAAGAGCUGGAACGGAAAACCAGCGAGCUGGAUAAGCUGAAGGAGGAGGACAAAAGGCGGAUGCUAGAGCACGACAAGCUUUGGCAGGAUCGCGUGAAGCAGGAAGAGGAACGUUACAAAUUCCAAGAUGAGGAGAAAGAAAAAAGGGAAGAAUCCAUUCAGAAGUGCGAGGUGGAAAAGAAACCAGAGAUCCAGGAGAAACCCAACAAACCGUUCCACCAACCUCCAGAGCCUGGAAAACUAGGAGGGCAGAUUCCCUGGAUGAAUACGGAGAAAGCCCCUCUAACGAUCAACCAGGGCGAUGUGAAGGUUGUGUAUUACCGAGCACUCUACCCUUUUGAUGCCCGAAGUCAUGAUGAAAUCACUAUUGAGCCUGGAGACAUUAUCAUGGUGGAUGAAAGCCAAACCGGAGAGCCUGGGUGGCUGGGAGGUGAACUGAAAGGAAAAACGGGCUGGUUUCCUGCCAACUAUGCAGAGCGAAUGCCCGAGAGUGAAUUUCCAAGCACAACUAAACCAGCAGCAGAAACUACAGCCAAACCCACUGUCCAUGUGGCACCUUCCCCUGUUGCACCUGCAGCUUUUACAAAUACAUCUACAAAUUCCAACAACUGGGCAGACUUCAGCUCAACGUGGCCAACCAAUAACACUGAUAAAGUAGAGAGUGAUAACUGGGAUACAUGGGCAGCUCAACCAUCUCUAACUGUUCCCAGUGCUGGUCAGCACAGACAGCGCUCUGCUUUUACCCCAGCAACUGUAACUGGAUCAUCGCCAUCUCCUGUACUUGGUCAGGGUGAAAAAGUAGAAGGCCUUCAGGCACAAGCCUUGUAUCCUUGGAGAGCAAAGAAGGACAACCAUCUUAAUUUUAACAAAAAUGAUGUUAUCACGGUUCUUGAACAGCAGGAUAUGUGGUGGUUUGGGGAAGUUCAAGGUCAAAAGGGCUGGUUUCCCAAAUCCUAUGUAAAGCUUAUAUCCGGUCCACUAAGGAAAUCUACAAGCAUCGAUUCCACGUCUUCAGAAAGCCCAGCGAGUUUAAAGAGAGUCUCUUCACCAGCAUUUAAACCUGCCAUCCAAGGAGAAGAAUACAUAUCCAUGUACACAUAUGAGAGCAACGAGCAAGGAGACUUGACCUUUCAGCAAGGAGAUCUGAUUGUGGUGAUUAAAAAAGAUGGCGACUGGUGGACUGGCACGGUGGGAGAGAAGACUGGGGUUUUCCCUUCCAACUACGUGAGGCCCAAAGACUCGGAGGCGGCUGGAAGCGGAGGAAAGACAGGAAGUCUUGGGAAGAAACCAGAAAUUGCCCAGGUUAUUGCAUCUUAUGCAGCAACUGGUCCUGAACAGCUAACACUGGCUCCUGGCCAACUUAUCCUCAUCCGAAAAAAGAAUCCAGGAGGAUGGUGGGAAGGAGAGCUGCAGGCACGUGGGAAGAAGCGGCAGAUUGGAUGGUUUCCAGCAAAUUAUGUUAAGCUUUUGAGCCCUGGCACAAAUAAAAGCACGCCAACGGAACCACCCAAACCAACGUCAUUGCCUCCUACAUGCCAAGUUAUCGGGAUGUACGAUUAUAUCGCGCAGAAUGACGACGAGUUGGCCUUCAGUAAAGGGCAGGUGAUUAACGUGCUGAACAAAGAGGAUCCCGACUGGUGGAAAGGAGAACUGAAUGGCCAUGUUGGUCUGUUUCCCUCCAACUACGUGAAACUGACCACAGACAUGGAUCCUAGUCAGCAAUGAUUUUAAAAAGGGAAACAUAGGGAUUUUAGAAAAUAUGCCUCUGAUGAAGCUGUGAGAAACUGCAAAACGCGUUAGGUGAAUGCACAUCGGUCCAUUACAAGCACCACGAGGAGGUCUGAAUCCGUCCGGCAAGACCACCCUCUGGGACUUUGUAGCUACAACAAUUGGACUGGAUGCGAUUACAUUAAGUGAAAGAAAUGUGAGUGCAUUUAUUGUUGUUUUUAAGAAGUUUAAAUAAAACGGUAUUAUACUAUCUCCGGUUUCUAUCCCCACUCUGGAGUUUGCAGAGAGUGCGAGGUCUGACAAGGAUCGCAUAAGAGGAUUUAAUAGACACGCUACACCACAAGAGUGGUUUGAAUCAUAUGUUGUCCAUCCCCCUACUCAGGCUUGAAAGUCCUCAAAGAGACCCACUAUCCCCAAUUCACUGCCCCGAGGGAUGAUGGGAGAUGCAGCCUUGAUCAUGUGACUUCCAGCAUGAUCCCCCUACUGCCUUGUGACUAGAAGAAAGCUGCACAGCAGUUGUACCUCCUAUUCAAUGCAUGGCACCACAAUGUUGUAUCUGCACACCCACAAGCAAAAUGUCACACAGUUUAGAGGAUAGUGGGUCCUUUUGUGGCUUUCUCCAUUCUCCAAAUAGUAUUUCAUUUAACUGGUGCUUUGCCAUUGAUUUUUAGUUCAUUUUUAGGAUGUUUUUAUCCCUGCACGCCAAGUAAAAGAAGGGAAGGGGGAGGGAUACAAAAUGGUGAAAAGGUUUUAUUGCAACCUGUUUUUGUGCAAAAAGACCCACUAUCAAGGAAUGCUGCAUGUGCUAUUAAUAAUGUGUCAUAUGUCCGAAAUGUUUUAUUUUAUUUCCAUUAUUAGUCUUUAUGUGUCCAGUGUUAGUUCUUAUUAUACCCGAAGUAUGUUCCUAUACAAUACAGUAAUAAUAGGAAUAUUCCAGGUAGAUUCCAGUGUCCCGUGGCUGGGUAACCUCCCGUCCUGUAGCAGGUGUGGAACGGAGAUUCCCCGCAACCUCUUUCCAGUUCAGCUGUUGGGGAGGGUGAGGGUCACUUGUUUUUGAGGAAAACAGACUUUUUGGGGCUCUGCAGGGCUGGGCCAAGCUGAUCAGGCGCCCUAGACAACCUGGCCAGCAAUCCCUCCCCCAUACAUGUGUGAACGUGAGCAUGAGCACCUUGAUGUGGAGGAGGUGAGGCAGCUGCAGAGGGGAGGGCCGGAGACGGGAAGCGGCAGAGGGGAGGGCCGCAGUGGGGAGGGGAAGCGGCAAAGAGGAGGGUCACAGUGGGAAGAGGAAGCAGCAGAGUGGAGGGACGGAGUGAGAAGAGAAGGGAAAGAGGGGAUGGCCAGAGUGGGGAGGGGAAGCGACAGAGGGGAGGGCUGGAGUGGGCGCGGCAGAGCGGAGGGCCCGAGUGGGGAGGGUAGACCAGCACAAGGAAGCAACUACAAACUGGAGGUGGGCAGAAGAGGUAACUGCAAAGCAACCACCCAUUGUUGUGCUCUAGGCAGGUGCCUCUUCUGAUCACCCCUAGUUCCGGCCCUGGGUCUCCGUUAUGCUGUGGGCUGAUACUCUGUGGUAUCCAACUGAAUGAGGCUGAACACACGAGCCAUUCGAGUGGCCCUACAUUGUUCCAGGGGGUGGGUGCAAUGAUUUCCACAAGUGCUACAGUUCUGGAGGUUGCCCAGUCUUGUCACUGAAGGCGUCAGUAGUGACUCUUUUUAAAUGCAGAAGAACCGGCUCCUUCCCGUGCAAUGGUCCCUGCUCGUUCACACGCUCACUGCUUCCAGUAUUUAUGGCAUAGGAGGAGUGUAUUAUACUGUUAUAUUUUGCACAUAUAGUUGAGUACAUGCAUCCCUGUUUUUAACUGUCAUUAUAUAAAUAUAUAUAUUAUAUAUUAUAAUUUUUUACUCUUAUUGGGGAUACUUUCACUAAUGUUCAUUUAUACAGACUUUCUCCCCCCCCCUCUUUAUUUUUUAAUCCAUUCAUUCUAAGAAAGUAUUGUGUCUGAGGGGUAUGUGUCCCGCUCAGAGGGUCAUUUUUUGUUUGUUUUUUUUUUUUAAAUAUUUUUAACGUAACUCAUGACAAAGAAUGUAUACACUAUUUUUAACCUGGAAGUAAUUGCAAUGUUUACAUCAUUUUUUAUUAUUAUUAUUUUAUCAAUAAGUAGAACUGUGGAAUUUUGAUAUCCUUUUCCCCAUACGCAGCUUACAGUGUUACGUCUUGUUCUGUUCUGUCCAUUAACUGUUUCACUCAACACUAGAAUUUGUUUUCAAUUAAAGCAGUCCGUUUAGGAGUUAAACCAGCAGGUGGAAUACCGGCAACAGGAGACCGCCCGUUUAUUUUAUUUCCGUUCCGUGACGGCCCCUCCUUGUUGCCGAAUGCGUUCCAGGCUCCCCCUCUCUCAGUUGUGAUGAUUAAAUUCCGUUGUUUCACUGCACCUCGAUUUUGUCCUGAUAUGAAUGUAAAAUAUAUAAAUAUAUAAACCCUACAGCUUUAACAACUGUAAAACAGCCUUUACAAUCAGUAACAUGUAUAGAUAAUUAAAUUCUUCUUAUAAAACCAA